GUGUCAGCAGCCGCGGUAAUACGUAGGGUGCGAGCGUUAAUCGGAAUUACUGGGCGUAAAGCGUGCGUAGGCGGUUUCGCAAGUCCGCUGUGAAAGCCCCGGGCUUAACCUGGGAAUGGCAGUGGAAACUAUGGGACUUGAAUCUGGCAGAGGGGGGUGGAACUCCACGUGUAGCAGUGAAAUGCGUAGAUAUGUGGAAGAACACCGAUGGCGAAGGCAGCCCCCUGGGCUGAGAUUGACGCUGAGGCACGAAAGCGUGGGGAGCAAACAGGAUUAGAUACCCUGGUAGUCC
This 292-nucleotide ribosomal RNA is filed under the name uncultured bacterium. RNAcentral describes it as "partial 16S ribosomal RNA". It matches the Rfam family "Bacterial small subunit ribosomal RNA", at positions 505 to 796 of the family's 1533-position model. The record is from RNAcentral.